This is a long non-coding RNA of Cavia porcellus (domestic guinea pig), 4074 nucleotides long. RefSeq lists it as uncharacterized. The transcript has 9 exons. The record is from RefSeq and is a predicted model, not a curated record. Lineage: Eukaryota; Metazoa; Chordata; Mammalia; Rodentia; Caviidae.
UUUGCUGGCCGGGAGGCCGCUGCUGCAAAGACCAGACGCUUACUUCCAGCCCCUGGGGCUAGUGGUGUGGCCUGCUUGGCCACUUCAUUCGGAGAAGUCUUCCAGGCGUAAAAGGCGAGUAGAACCUGGGCUGCGCUGUCCGAAGGCGGGACAUGAACCCGAAGUGGCCUUCGUCUCUGUCUGGUAUCUCCUGAACAGCACCACCAGAAUUGAGGACACAUAGAACACCAUGGAGCCCAUCGGACAUUCCGGCAGUGAAGGAAAACUUACUGCAUGUUAGAGGAUCUUGCUAUGUGGUUCAAGCUGGCCUCAAACUCACAACUUUACUCCUGCCUCAGCCUCCCGUGUGCUGGGAUUACAGGCAUGUACCACCACACCUCACACUAACAAAUGGAUAUUUGAGCCCACAUCUGUCUGACUAUGCAUUUCUAUCUCCCAGGAGAGCCACUGGCUUAGUGCUUUUUAAAUUCAGUUGCUUGUGUUCCACAUCUGAGAAACACAGGCUGAGGAAGCCCUCAGCACACAGAUCGGACUUUGUCAAGUGUGGCAGUGAAGGACAAGAAGGAAAAACCAAGGCCAGGGAAGACCUGCUUUUGCUGCUCCGUUUCUUCCAGCAAACAUUCCUCAUGGCACAUCGAGAGCACUGGACCAACUUCCCACUUCAGAAGAGGGUACAGAAAUGCCAAACAGCCCUUGCUGACUCUGUGUGCUGAGGGCCGUGGGAGCACUGAGAAGUGACACGUGGCCUUAGCUGGAUCUGUUGGUGGCUGUGGGGGCAGAGCAGAGUGAGAUCCAUAAAUACCUUAACAACCCCUUCCAAAAAGGCCAAUACUCAUUUUUACAAUAAGGUCAUGCCAAGGUGUUCUGUGGGGUUUUGACAACUAAAAUGCCAACAGUAUUAGAAAUAAAUGAUUAAAAUAUCCAAAGACAUUUACUUGGUAAUAUAUAUGUAUGUAUAUUAUUUAAAACAAUUUAUUAACUCAUUAAUAAUUGGUUUUUCACAUUUGCUGUAAUACAUUCAACUUUUUCAUGAAUUGAUUUCUAUGUACUUUCCCCAAGAGCCACUUUUUGAAUACCUAGUAUUUUCUCAAAGCAUGUCAUCUCCACUGGUUUCUAAAUUGAGCAGUUUCAAACAAAUCAACUCUAUCAAUAACUUACCUACAAAAUGCAUCAAUUUUUAUAGAAUUGGAUGAGCCUUUUUUUUGCCCCCUAUCUGGAGGUGCUGGGGAUCCCACUUCAGCUCAAUCAUAGUGCUACAUCCUAACACUUUAUGGAAACUUUUAAGAUAGGGUCUUGCUAAAUUGCCCAGCCUGGCCUUAAUCUUGGUUCUCCUGCCUCUACUGCCAGAGUAGCUGAAGUUACAGGACUGAAUCACUGCUACAGCUGAAUUUCAUGUGCUUUGACAAAUGUAUUGCUUUUUGCAACCUGCACCAAAUCAGAAUCAGAACAUUUCCAUAACCCUGGAGUGUUUUUUUUCCCCCCCACUUCUUUCCUUUUAGUAUUGAUAGAACCCAGGACCCUCACUAACCUGUGUACCCAGCCCUUUUUAGUAUUUGAGACAGGGAGGAUCUCACUAAAUUCCCUCAGUGGGAAUCAAAUUUUUGAUUCUCCUGCAUCAGCCUCCCAGUCUUGGGGUUAUAGCCAUGUGUCACGAUACUCAGCUAACAUUCUAGGUUUUUUGGUGCUCCUUGGCAGUUAUUUUUUUCUAACUCCUGUCCAGCAACUACCAGUUUACUUCGUUACUCCAGAUUUUGUCAGUGGACUACUUAUAAGCAUCCAAAACAAGUUUAACUGAAGUCAUUUGAGGGUGGCAGAAGCCCAAGGUGGAUUGAACAAGCCUUGCUGACCAGAUGUGAAGGGGAGGAGAGAAGGAAAUGGGAGCGGAGGCUGCACCCAGAUGUCUGGCACAUGGAAACUCACCCACUCUCCUACCCCAGCAUGCAGAGGCUUGACAGUUUACUCAGGACUUGCUGAUCUGGCCUGAAAGAGACCUGCUGAGUGACUAAGCAAAGGGCAGGUUUACACCUCUCCAGCCUCUUCUCUGAUCCCGUAGCCAGGUGUCUGAACCAAAACACUGCCAAUGUCACGACUGCUUCAAGUCUAAUGAAAACUGAUUCCCAUGACGAUAGAGUGAUGACUCUAACAGUCUUUAGGUUUUCAAAACAGAAUGUAAAUACACUCAAAAGGCAAUAAAACAAGAAUGAAUCAUAGGACCAUCUAGGAUGUUCCAAUGCAUUUGAAGACAAGGGUCAGCAACCAGAACGCUAAGCAUACAGCAGAAGCCAGUUUUACUCACGAGGACUGGAAGCAUCCUGCUUAGAAAUGGCACAUGGAGAUCAACAAUAACCUCAAACUCUUCUACCUUUCUCAAGCCAGCAAAAGGAGCUCUAGAAAGGCUCCAUGCUUACCAAGCCACUGUGAUCCUAGGGUCCAGAUAAUUGAGUUUGGAGGUUCCCAAAGCAACUUGCUUAUUCUCCUCACGAUCUGUAGCCUGAACUUCUAGCUUCAUCAACUGCUCCUCCAGUCUCUGCACAGCCUUCUUCUUUGACUCUACUACCCUAGAAGAAUGGCAGAGUCAGUAAAAAACAAACCUGACCUUUAAACAAAAACAUACUGCAGCUAUAUUCUGUCUCUUAGAGGCAGUAAAGCUAUAAAAGGCCCAUGUACAGAGAUUUCAAAAAAAAUUUUUUUUAAAGUGUGAUAAAACCUUAAAAGAGCUGGGUGACCAGGGCCUCUGAGCAGCAGAUAAACUUUUUCCUCUUAACCAACCCUAACUUUACACAAUACUAGACACAUACUUCUUGGUCUUUGCAUCUUUCAUGACUUUGGCAUCAGCUUUAGCACUUUUCAGAUCCCUCCGAGCAUCUGCUAGCUGAUCCUUCUUGGCAUCAAUCUAGGUGGGGAAGAACAACAGUAAAGUCAGGAAAAAUAAGAUGAAGAAAAAAAAAAAAAAGAACCAAAGAGAAAACAAGAGGGCUCUACCAAAGGUAGGAGUCACUUCCACAAGUCAGGCUACUUUUCUUUGUGCUUUGUUGGGUAAAAACACAAACCAGUAUCUUCAUGAAGACACAAAGGAGAUAUAGUGGGACUGCUGAAUUCAGCUGCUACUUGUUCAUUCUAGUCUUCAGUGACCCUUCAGGGUUCUAAUAAGGCAAUAUCCUAAGCAUGGGUGCUCAUCUUUUGAUAAAAUACUCUGGUGUUAAGACUCUCUGAGAGGAAGGCACAUAUGACAGAUGUUUACUAACUAGACCUUGUGCCAAAUUUUAGUCUUUCUUGUAAAAAUACUGCAGAGCAAAUCCCUUUAGGGCACUGAGGGGUGGGUACAUGUAUUACAAAAUAAGCCCAGCUCAUUCCUCACGUUCUGCCAGUUGUCUGGGAACUGCCACUGAAGAAAAAAGGAUGUACUGAUGAGAAUAUCUAAGAUAAACAACACACGGUGAGGCCUGGCUUUGGCAUUCUUUUUUCGUAAGGAGAGAAGUCUGAGGGAACAAAGGAAAUCUUGUAGAAUCCAUAUCCAUAAAGGAAAAGACAUACAGUUCAUCCUUUUAGGUUGAAACCCCUAAAGCACCACUGGAAAAAUCUCAGUUGCUCUUGAGAUGAUGCUUACAGAUAGCAGCAAGUAAUGCCAGGGACCUAAAGCUUGAACCCAUGAAGACAUGUGGCUGGGGGCAGAAUACCAUCCUUGUGGUCACCCUGCUGACCUUUGAGGUCAAGAGAACCUCCCAGAGUAAAUAACAUGCUUGACUCACACACACAUUGGGCUGCUGCUAAACCUAGAAUUUUCUGUUAGAUACACAUACAGUCAAAGGUUGGAAACAGAGGCCACCACUGUAAAAAAAAAAAAUCAAUGAAUAUUUUUUACUAUGAGUGGCUUACUUCCAACAUCUAUGUUGUCCAAAGCCAAGCUGAAGGAACUAAUUCUAUACACAAAAGCAUCACAGUUGCUACUAGCCAGAUUCUUAGACUAGAAAUGCAGCAAACCACAAUCUUUUAACCAUUUCUGUGAAUGCUAAAUUGGCAGGGUAUGUCAAGUUCUCUCAGAGCAUCAAAGACACCAUUGAUUCACUUGGCAAA